GGAAGUAAAAGUCUUAACAAGGUUUCCGUAGGUGAACCUGCGGAAGGAUCAUUAUUGUAUAACCGAGGUGCGAGGGCUGUCGCUGACCCGAAAGGUCGUGCACGCCCGAGUGCCCUCACACACAUCCAUCUCACCCCUAUGUGCACCACCGCGUGGGUCCCCCUUUGGCUUGUUCGGAGGGGGGCUUACGUUUUCACACAAACUUUGUAUGCAGUGUAGAAUGUAUUUUUUGUUUUUGCGAUCACGCAAUCAAUACAACUUUCAACAACGGAUCUCUUGGCUCUC
RNAcentral lists this unclassified non-coding RNA (285 nucleotides) under plant metagenome. RNAcentral's name for it is "partial contains small subunit ribosomal RNA, internal transcribed spacer 1, and 5.8S ribosomal RNA". The stretch from base 1 to 54 matches the Rfam family "Eukaryotic small subunit ribosomal RNA", at positions 1778 to 1831 of the family's 1831-position model. The record is from RNAcentral.